RNAcentral lists this ribosomal RNA (253 nucleotides) under uncultured bacterium. RNAcentral's name for it is "partial 16S ribosomal RNA". It matches the Rfam family "Bacterial small subunit ribosomal RNA", at positions 524 to 776 of the family's 1533-position model. The record is from RNAcentral.
GACGAACCGUGCAAACGUUGUUCGGAAUCACUGGGCUUAAAGGGCGCGUAGGCGGGUCUCCCAGUCUGUGGUGAAAUCCUCCAGCUUAACUGGAGAAGUGCCGUGGAUACUGGAGACCUCGAGGAGGAUAGGGGCAUCUGGAACGGUCGGUGGAGCGGUGAAAUGCGUUGAUAUCGACCGGAACUCCGGUGGCGAAGGCGAGGUGCUGGGUCCUUUCUGACGCUGAUGCGCGAAAGCCAGGGGAGCAAACGGG